Dermochelys coriacea (leatherback sea turtle) is the source of this 644-nucleotide long non-coding RNA. RefSeq lists it as uncharacterized. The transcript is spliced from 3 exons. Lineage: Eukaryota; Metazoa; Chordata; Testudines; Dermochelyidae. The record is from RefSeq and is a predicted model, not a curated record.
GCUCCAGGUGCAAAUUCUGCCCCAGGCACUGGGUGCCACACAGGGACAAGUGCUACUGGCUGUCUGGAGAGAAUCAAUACUGGAGCAGGGGCCGUGAUGACUGCUCACGGAGGGGAUCUCACCUGCUAGUGAUCCAGGACCAGGAGGAGCUGGGGUUCAUACAGAAUAUUAUAUGAGAUCAAAGUCCGGUGUGGAUUGGACUCAACAUCACAUCCCCAGGGAGGAAUUGGACCAGGGUGGAUGGUUCCCCGUUCAACCAAACACUAUUCAUGGUAUCGGGUCCUGCUGAAGAGAACAGCUGUGCUGCAGUAAAGAAGAAUUGGAUCAAGUCUGAAAUCUGCAACACUCACUAUAAAUGGAUUUGCCAAAAGGAAGCUGUGCUCAUUUAAAUGGGUGGGUUGGCGACCUCUGUUUGCAUAUAUGGAAUGGCGAACAUCCUGUGUUCUCAUCUUUAUUUCAGCUACCAAAGCCCCAGGCAGUGUAAACCUGGGUAACACCGAGAAAGUGAAUGACGCAAUGCUGAUUUACACCCAUUGGGGGUCUGGGCCCAUUGCCUCCAGUGGAUUAUGGCCAGUUCACACCAGCUGGGAAAUUGGCCCUUUGAUUAUUUUAAAAAUAAAUAAAUCUAUAAUUUUUUCACAAUG